ACGGGUGAGUAACACGUAGGCAACCUGCCGACAGGAUGGGGACAACAUUCCGAAAGGAAUGCUAAUACCGAAUGAAGUCACCGGAGGGCAUCCUCUGGUGAUGAAAGAUGGCCUCUGAAUAUGCUAUCACCUGUCGAUGGGCCUGCGUCUGAUUAGCCAGUUGGCGGGGUAACGGCCCACCAAAGCGACGAUCAGUAGCCGGUCUGAGAGGAUGAACGGCCACAUUGGGACUGAGACACGGCCCAGACUCC
This 251-nucleotide ribosomal RNA is filed under the name uncultured Selenomonas sp. RNAcentral's name for it is "partial 16S ribosomal RNA". It matches the Rfam family "Bacterial small subunit ribosomal RNA", at positions 102 to 339 of the family's 1533-position model. The record is from RNAcentral. Lineage: Bacteria; Bacillati; Bacillota; Negativicutes; Selenomonadales; Selenomonadaceae.